GGUCUAAAAGUAUAAUCGCCUCCCGUCUAUUGAUCCGAUGAAAUCGGAAUCAGAGUAGCGAAGGAGUCAGGGAUCGUUCUAAAAAAUCGCCUCUUCCUGUUUGGACAUUGCUGCAGGGCAUCGAUUGUGAUCAUGUUCAUGCAGUCCCUGCACUAGGCAGUGGUGCUGUCAGCCCUGCACUGCACUGCACUGCACUGGGCAAGGCCAAAGACUCGAUCAGGGCUCGUGCCUGAGGCGGUGGAGUUGAAGCCUCUGGAGAUGGGGACAUUGGCUUUGAGGGAUUGAAGGAGGCUAUUCAGGUUCUCCUCAUAACUGCUUCCUGCCGUGUAAUUUGUAGAGCCCAAGCAAACUUCAACUGCUUUUGCUAUAUGCGGGAGAAGCAUGAAUCGCAGAAGUGAAAAAAACAGGUGACUUGUAAACACAAUCAAACGUAUCUCUCGCUUUCCGCCUCUCUCUCUCUCUCUCUGCUGUCUUUAAUUCUGUCUGCUUUCUCUACUUCUCUCACUUUCUCAAUUUGCUGUUUGUUUUUUUUUGGGCAUGUAUUCCACGCUCCCUCUCCCUCGAGAGUAUGGUUUACUUCUACUCCUUCAGGUAGACGGCCUAUUUGGGAGAUUUUUUAUUAACCUAAAGUUUUGGUAAUCACCUAAUAAUCACUGGAUGAUAUUUCUCAAAAACAAAUUUUGAAAUAUGAGUUUUUUAACAGUUAGAUCUCACCUUUAAAAAUUGGAUGAUUUCUAUUCAAUCUUGAGACAUUAUUUUUUUCAAGCACUUUGAGGGAAUUAAAAAUAUUUUUUAUUAAAAUUAAUUUAUCUGUUAGAACGUUUAUAUCCUAAAAUUUAGGGUCUCAAAAUUAUAGAAAAUUGUUUGGUGCCAUCAAGCCCGCAAGUGUUAUUAUGCAGGCUUGGAGAUCUACACCAUCCACCAAAGAAAGUGUCGAUCUACACCAUAAAUAUUAGUCCUCCAAAAGUAAAAUCAACCGUUCAAAUAUUUUUUUCUAAAAAUAUCAUUCUAGUUUUUUAUUUAUUUAUUUUUACAGAUUAAUAAUCUGCAUGUUGAAGAUUAUGUAUUCUCUAAAACCAAGAGUAAAGUGCAUUUCAAAAAUGAAUUAUUAAGGGGACCUCAUUUAUACAUAUGAGUCCAUGGACUCAUAGAAAUCGUAUCUUAAAAUUAUUCUUACAUGGGUAGCUGUAGAGGUAAGGUGCGCCUUCAAAAUUUAUCAUGGCAUAUAAUUUUGAUGUAAAAUGUUCUUAGAAUUAUCUCAAAAUCUAUUUUUAUAUCUAAUUAUAAAAUUUUAAAUUUCAAAAAUGGUUAAAAUCAAGUAGAUCUAUAGACAUAUGAAAAUAUUGAAAAUGGACGGUGUAGAUAAUAUGUUGUAAAAUGCACUAUUUCUGAGACUUAAAAUCUUUUUAUUUUUCAUGGUCAUACAUCUCGAUCUCGAGAUGAUCAAUCAAAGGGUUUUUCAACAUUAAAACUACCUUUUCCGAUAGAUUUUUGAGGUGCAUCCAUAGCUCUACAUUAUAAGGUUGCAACCUUAUAUAAACCUUUUCCUUCUUAAACAGGUUUUAUCUCAGGGUGUAAAUAAACAGUAUACUCAAGGAAAUAUAAUAUCUUCACUUAAAACAUGGCGACUCCACCAAGGCCAUGACAUCGGAGUUGUUAUUGAUGUGGAAAAGCAAAGCCAAAGGCUUUUUCCUUCGUUUUUUUCUAGGGAAAAUUACAAACCAAUCUAACUUUUUUUCUCUUUUUUUUUUUCGAAACAAACUUUCUAUGCAAAUACCCUCAAGAGAAAAAAUUCAUUAUUUUUAGACAAAAUGCCAUUCUCAAACACUAAAAUCAUUUUGGCCAAAUUUGACGUUGACUUUUGGACCCCAGUAGCAUAUUGUCAGAACGCACAUCACAUUGCCGGAGCGCACAAGUGCCAGACCACCCUAAGACAACUAGCAGACUGAAACCUGGACUGUGCCAGAGCCCAAUAGCACAAUGUCGGAGCGCACAUCACAUUGCCGGCCCUUUACUUAGUGCUGGAACCCUGUAAUCCAGUAACAUCUACUAUCAGAUUGCUUUUUGCAACUGCCCAACCGUACUUUACACAAUGUCGGAGCCCUAAUGUUGGACCGUAACUAGAGCCCUACUACCGGACCACAACUGGAGCCGUACUGCCGGACCGUACUUACACAGUGUCAAAGCCCCUAGUUUGGUGAGAUAGAUGAGAGAGAGGGCCCUAAUGUCGGACCGUAACUGGAGCCCUACUGCCGGACAGCAAUGGGAGCCCUACUGCCUAACCGCACUUGCACAGUAUCAAAGCCCCUAUUUUGGUGAGAAAAAAGAGAGGGAGGCAUUUUAAAGUAAAAGCAAGGGAUGGUAGUUUAGCCAUUUUUUUUACUUUUUAUCUUAGUUGGGGGUAUUUGCAUAGAAAAUAUAUUUAAAAAAAAAAAAGUGAAAAAAAAAGUCCGUAUAAAGUGUAGUCUUUGGGUUUUUGUAAUCUUUUCCACUAAAUUUCAGUUGGGCGUAUUUGCAUAUAAAAUAUAUUUAAAAAAAAAAAGGUGGAAAAAAAAAAAAAGGGUUAGAACAAGUCCGUAGAAAGUGUAGUAUUUGGGUUUUUGUAAUCUUUUCCACCAAAUUUCGUGCAAGAUGGGAGCCACUUUCUUGUUGACGCUGUGCAGAAGUGUAUGGAGGCGUUUGUUAAUGCGGACUGCGUCAUGGAAAUGACCCGCUCUUUCGUUAAUAUUGCUAUUUCUCCUAGAUCCAAAUGGACUUCCGUGUAGUAUACACUUACUACGGAUGCAAGAUGCGUUGCAUGUUUUUAGCCGUUCAUUUUCAUGAGUAGAAAUGAUAUUGUCAGAGGACACGGUUUAUACGAGUCUGCGUUCUCAUAUGAAGGUAUGUAUUCUCUCUCUAUUAUUUAUUUUUUGAGAUGGAUUUUGCAUUAAAUAUUUUAAAUAUAUAUAAUCUCUAAUAUUUAUCUAAAGAAGGGUGAGGAUCUUAAACUUUUUUUUUACCAUUUAUUUUAAUCCUUUGUGGCGGCGCCAUUUUUUUGCGUCCAUCUUUAAGAUGGAUGCUUGGUGCGUCAAGGGACGUAAAUAUAGUAUUCUAUCCCCUGACGCACAAUAAUAUUUUCCAAUUAUUCAAUACAAUUGUUCUCGAUAGUUAAAAAGUAUUUUAGAAACACCUCGAUUAUAGCAUGUUUUUGUUGCACAUUGUAUAACAACUUCCUUGGGCGAAAGUGUCACUUGAGAGAUUUUUUCAUAUUUAAAAUUUGGGACGCAUAUUUUUAAGAAACAUAAUGGAUUGGAUGUUCUUCAACACCGAGAUCUUGCCCUUCAAAAAUUGGAUAGCUCUUGUUCAAUCUGGCACAUUAGUAUUUUCGAGGAACAUAGAGAGUCCUAUUUAAUUUUUGUAUGAAGUUCAUUGUUAGAUUCUACAUGCUGCAACCCCAAAUGUUUGGUCUCCAAAAAAUAUUCAUAGCAUAUCGGCUGGUAACGGACUAGGUGGCCCAAUUCUGCCCCAAAGAACUAGGGCUUGGGCCACAAAAUUAUAGAAUUGAGGUUGGCAAGGCUUGGGGCCCAUAGUACUGGCCCGGUCUAGCUCAGCCUAAUCCUAUUUCUUUUUCCUUUUCUUCUUAAUUUCUCUUUCAUUGUAUGUGACCUUGCCAAACUCGUCUUUGACAAGGCCAAGUCUCAGCCUGGGCCAAGGCCUCUACAACCCUGUUUUUUUUGUUUUUUUUGGUAAAUAAAUUCUUAGCCUCUUUAGCCCAAUCAUUUAACAAUACUUCAACAAAAGGUUUUUACUGUAAAAAAAACUCCCUUAUGUGAUUAAAUAUUGGAGUUUUCUCACAUCAAUUGGCUGCUAAUUAGUACGAAAAAAUACGUUUGAACCAACUAGUACAAAAAAAAAAGAAAAAUUUCAUAUAAAACCCUAAUUCUUCGUAUUAUUUCAUGGUAUACAUUCUUUUCCUUUUUUUUCAAGCGGCAUAAAAAAAACCUCUAAAGAUUUCAUCAUACCCCAUUAUCUCUUAUCUCCAUCUUUUAUUGACUUUUGAUUAUAAAAAUUAGCCCCAACAAAUCUUUUGUAUCAUUUUAACCAAUAAACUUUUUUAAUGGGUGGAAUAGAAAAAGAAGGUUAAAAACGUUUUUGGGGUGAAAUGAUGUAAAAAUAUUUAUUAGGGCUAAUUUUUAUGGUAAAAAGUCAAUAAAAAAGGGAGAUGAGAGAUGACGGGGUACGGUGAAAUCUUUAGGAAUUUCUUUAUGCUCCUUGAAAGUAAAACGGAAAGAGGGUCUACCAUGAAAUAAUAUGAGGAAUUACAGCUCUAUACAAACUUUUCUCAAAAAAAUAUGUUGUGACCAGUGGUUUAAAAAACGAACCGGUGCCCUUGAUUGGGCACUCCAAAAAUCAAUCCGGAUCAGUGAAUAGGCUAUCCGGAUCGGGAAUCGACUGAAUCGGUCGGAUUAAGCUUUGAAAAAAAUUCAAAAAAAUUAUUAAAUUUCAUUAUAAAUGUUGUUUUUUAGGAAUCCAGUAAAAAAUUGGGGUAUUAUUGCAUUAUUAACUUUCAUUUUUUUCAUCAAUUUACGAAUAUUGAGAUGUUAUUUCCCUAUAUGAAAUUAUGUUAACCAUUAAAUUUACAUCAUACAAAUCUUGAAUUGGCAAACUCUAAUCCGCUAAAAACAAACCCAAAUUAUUACAACCUAAUUAACUAUGAUAUUAUAUAUUGAAAGUAAAAUAGUUGGUUUAUAUUUUAUAAUUAUUUUAUUAAACAAAUAAUAACAAAUCCAAAAAAAUAAGAAUAUGUUGUGCUACAUUUUUUUUGCUUGUUUUAUUUUUUAUUUUUACUUUAUUUUCUUCCUUUUAUACUUUGUUUUUGAAAUACCUUUUCUUUUUUAUUUGUCCCUUUUACUUUAUUUUGGUUUUUGUAGAGGAUAAAAAAGGUGUUUUUUUAAAAAAAAACCUUUUAUUUUUUUAUUUUUUCCUUUUACUUUAUUUUGUUUGGACAAAUUUGUGGUAGAGGACAAAAAAAGGGAUGGCGCCCAAGGGGUUCGAAGUCGGGACUUAUAAGAAAAAUUUAAGAGCCAAAGCCAAUAGUGUAUAAAUAUUAUAAUCAUUUUGCGUGCAUGUGGUAAUUAUCCCACAUCUUUAAUCUAAGUGUGCAUACUGGAGGGGCAUUACUAGAUGCGUUGGUUGCGUUGCAGGCUGCUUCUCAAUACUGAGAUUCCAUGCGCGCUUAACGUGAGGCAAUAAAAAUAUGCUCUUAAAUUUUAAAUAAAUUACAGACUUUGGCCUAACAAUUUUUAGCACUUGAAAUCGAUUGUGUAACUGUAGUGACUCGGCGAGUUUCACAAGUUAUCAUUACGAAUCCGUCCGGCUCUCUCUAGACAUGUUAUCGCUAUGAACCCGUCCGGUUCUCUCUAGACAUGGGCAGUCGGUUCCCGUCCGGAUCUCUUUAGACAUGGGUGGUUUUUUGUAUUUUGGUGGAAUCGGCACACAUGAGCGGUUUUUUGUAUUUUGGUAGAACCGACACGGGGUGCCGAUUCCUGUGUCGAGCCAGGAUGAGGAUGUUUGGACAUGGGCGGUUUUUCGUGUUUUGGUAGAACCAGCACACAUGGGUGGUUUUUUGUAUUUUGGUGGAACCGGCACACAUGGGUGGUUGUUUGUAUUUUGGUGGAACCUGCACGGGGUGCCGGUUCCCAUGUCGAGCCAGGAUGAGGAUGAGGAUGUUUGGACAUGGGCGGUUCUUCGUGUUUUGGUGGAACCGGCAUGAGGUGUCGAUUCUCUCGUCGAACCGGGAUGAGGAUGAGGAUGUUUGGUGGAACCGGUUUUUUUUAUUUUGGUGGAAUCGGCACACAUGCGAGGUUUUUUGUAGUUUGGUGGAACCGGCACGGGGUGCCGAUUCCCCGUGUCGAGCCUGGAUGAGGAUGAGAAUGUUUGGACAUGGGCGGUUCUUCGUGUUUUGGUGGAACCGGCAUGGGGUGCCAAUUCUCAUGUUGAACAGGGAUGAGGAUGAGGAUGUUUGGUGGAACCAGCACGGGGUGCCGAUUCCCGUGUCGAACAGAGAUGAGGAUGAGGAUGUUUGGUGGAACCAGCACGGGGUGCCGAUUCCCGUGUCGAACCGAGAUGAGGAUGAGGAUGAUUUGCAGGCCUUUCAACAGUCGCUAGGGAGAUGGCCUUUCCGGUGCAGUUCAGGUUGGUUGUUGUUUUGGUGGAACCGACAAGGGAGUGCCGACGUGUCGAACAGGGCGAGUCCGGUUCGACUCGGUGACUUUUCAAACACUGGUUGUGUGACCAAUUGGUGUGAAACUUUAUCACACAUAUAAUCACAUGAAGGAGCUUUUUAAAAAGGGAAAAGUUUUAAUAAGGUUGCAACCUUAAAAUGUAGAAUCACAUAUGCACCUCAAAAAUCUAUCGGAAAUGUUGUUUUAAUGUUGAAAAAACCCUCUAAUCCAUCAUCUCGACAUCGAGAUGUAUGAAUAUGAAAAAAAAAAAAAGUUUUUGAGUCCCGAAAAUAGUGCAUCUUGCAACACAUUAUCUAGACCUUUUAUUUUCAAGAUUCUCUUAUAUUUAUAGAUAUACUUGAUUUUAACUAAUUGUAAAUUUUUAAAUUUUCUAAAUAGGUAUGAAAAUAGAUUUUAAGGUAAUUCUAAUAAUUUUUUACAAUAAAAUUAUAAAGUGCGUCUUAAUUGGAUUGUUUAAGGUUGCAACUUUAUAGAAACCGCACCCUUUUAGAAAUAUUUUUACUCAAAUAGUUUUACCCGUGCCAAAUGUGCCCUAAUAAGAGAAAACGUAUCAUCCGAUUUUAUAAAAACAAGCCACAUGAUGUGCGGUAUUAGCAUGUCAAUUUGUUUAGAAUGCGAUUUUGAUUUCAACGAAAAUGGUAAUGUGGGUGAGAACAAUCAAACGUUGUUAUUACCGAUGAAUAAAAGGCCUUUAAAAUAUAAAACUAUGAGCAAUUUUAUUAGCGUUGUUAUUGAGAAUGCUCUUUUUAUAAAAAAUAAAAAAUAAAUUGAGAUUGCUCUUCCAUUUUACUAAAAAAAAAAAGAAGAGCAAUCUCAAAUAUUAUUUGUACCUACAUAUUUCAUCAUUCUCUCACGUCAAAGGCAAGGCAUGUUAGAACUUGGAAGUGGGUUCGUUAGAAAUUCACGCUCACAGCAUCCAUACACUCACUAGAAGCCCCGUGCCGAGACACUAUAUUGAAAAGGACAAAAUUUAUAUAAGUGUGAGGCUCUAAACAAUCAAAUUAGGGCGCACAUAAAACAUUUCACUAGAACAGGUUGUUUUGAUGCCCAAAUAUUUUUAAAUUGAUCAGCUUGGUAUCAAGAUGCAUGGACAUGAGAAAAAAAUAGAUUUCAAGUUUUGAAAAUAGUGUCUUGUAAUACCUUUUUAAACCAUCAAUUUUCAAGUUUUCAUAAAUCUGCUGGAUCUACACUAUUUUUUAAACUUUAAAUUUUGUAAUUAGAUAUAAAAAUAUAUUUUAAGGCUAUCACAAAUAUAUUUUAAGGCUAUCACAAACAUUCUCGACACUAUUUGAAGGUAGGCUUUAUUUUGAUUGUUUAAAGCCUCGCCUUUAUACAAACCGCACCCUUAUAAAAAAGGGAUAUGUUAGAGUACUCGUAUAGGUGAAUAUUUAAUUAAGGGCCAGAGCAAUUUAUAAUGGGAAAAGUACAGAUAUCCUCAAGUUUGUACUUUCUAGACAACCUUCCCCCAACAAAACUUUUCUUUGCAACUUUUACCCCAAAUCAUACUUUUUUAGCAAAUAAACACCCAAGUCAAAAAAAAAAGUAAAAAAUACCAAAAUGGCCUCUUGUAAGAUAAAGUACCUCUCUCUUUGCCAGUCGUGGUCUCGGUCUGACAAUAGGAUAGCGGUCUGGCACUAGCUGCACGCGGUCCGACAAUUGUUUCUUUGUCUAGGUUGUCGGUUCGGCAAAAGGAAAUGCGGUCCGGCACUAGGUGCCCUCGAUCUGACAAAUUUUUGAUGGGGUCCGGCAGUUGUUCUACACGGUCCGGCACAUGAUGACUUCGGUCUGGCGCGUCUUUACCUCGGUCCCGCACAUCUUUACCUCGGUCCCGCACAUCUUUACAUCGGUUCGACAAUCGUUUACUACGGUCCGAUAGUCAACUCUUGGUUGCGUAUUUUACGAGGAUGUGACGCAAGUUUGUACUAACAAGGGC
RNAcentral lists this long non-coding RNA (8157 nucleotides) under Amborella trichopoda. Its description in RNAcentral is "long non-coding RNA (ATRI_LNC001753)". The record is from RNAcentral. Lineage: Eukaryota; Viridiplantae; Streptophyta; Magnoliopsida; Amborellales; Amborellaceae.